This 253-nucleotide ribosomal RNA is filed under the name uncultured bacterium. Its description in RNAcentral is "partial 16S ribosomal RNA". It matches the Rfam family "Bacterial small subunit ribosomal RNA", at positions 524 to 776 of the family's 1533-position model. The record is from RNAcentral.
UACGGAGGGGGCAAACGUUGCUCGGAAUCAUUGGGCGUAAAGCGCACGUAGGCGGCGCGUUAAGUCGGAUGUGAAAGCCCCGGGCUCAACCCGGGAAGUGCAUACGAAACUGGCGCGCUUGAAUAUGGAAGAGGGUCGCGGAAUUCCCGGUGUAGAGGUGAAAUUCGUAGAUAUCGGGAGGAACACCAGUGGCGAAGGCGGCGACCUGGGCCAAUAUUGACGCUGAGGUGCGAAAGCGUGGGGAGCAAACAGG